GAGGUACCCCCUCCGUUCGGAAUUACUUGUCGUAGAAAUGGAUGUAUCUAGAUAUUUUUUAAUUAUAGAUACAUCUAUUUCUGCGACAAGUAAUUCGGAACAGAGGGAGUAGUUU
Molecule: non-coding RNA, 115 nt
Organism: Triticum aestivum (bread wheat)
Lineage: Eukaryota; Viridiplantae; Streptophyta; Magnoliopsida; Poales; Poaceae
Source: Rfam